CAGCAGCAGCCACGGUAAUACGUAGGUCCCGAGCGUUGUCCGGAUUUAUUGGGCGUAAAGCGGGCGCAGACGGUUACUUAAGCAGGAUGUGAAAUCCCCGGGCUCAACCUGGGAACUGCGUUCUGAACUGGGUGACUAGAGUGUGUCAGAGGGAGGUAGAAUUCCACGUGUAGCAGUGAAAUGCGUAGAGAUGUGGAGGAAUACCGAUGGCGAAGGCAGCCUCCUGGGAUAACACUGACGUUCAUGCCCGAAAGCGUGGGUAGCAAACAGGAUUAGAUACCCGCGUAGUCCCUGUCUCUUAUAC
Molecule: ribosomal RNA, 304 nt
Filed under: uncultured bacterium
Lineage: Bacteria
Description: partial 16S ribosomal RNA
Rfam family: Bacterial small subunit ribosomal RNA
Source: RNAcentral